This 254-nucleotide ribosomal RNA is filed under the name uncultured bacterium. Its description in RNAcentral is "partial 16S ribosomal RNA". It matches the Rfam family "Bacterial small subunit ribosomal RNA", at positions 524 to 776 of the family's 1533-position model. The record is from RNAcentral.
UACGAAGGCGCCAAGCGUUAUCCGGAUUUAUUGGGCGUAAAGAGUUCAACGGCGGUCACGUCAGUCAGAGGUCAAAUCGUGGGGCUCAACCCCAUGCCGGCUUUUGAUACUGCGCGACUUGAGGGUGGAAGAGGUGAGCGGAACGGCCGGUGUAGUAGUAAAAUGCGUUAAUAUCGGCUGGAACACCAAUGGCGAAGGCAGCUCACUAGGACACUCCUGACGCUCUAUGAACGAAAGCGUGGGUCGCGAAUGGG